UCCUGCCUUUCACCUCCUUCUGACUCAUCUCUGAAUUGUUUCUUGUGAUUGUGUCAAGAAUCUGGAAACUAGCUGGGCUGGGGUCUCACUGGCAUGCAGAGACUCUCCUGGGAUCACACUGGCAUCCACAGAGCCUCUUGAGCCCUCCAGCAACAAGUUGAUCUGGUAAUAGCUUUGGAACUUUGAGGGGAAGUUGGAGACUUGGCAUGAGGGAUAAAUGCAGUGGACUGAGACUUUAGACAAGUGGGGAUGGGGUCUUUGACCAGGCGCCAGUGGUAGCUCUCCACGCAAGCUGCUCGUUUCCUAUGGAUCCCCCUAGCUGUGGUGGGCAUUGCAGUUGCCCUUGGGUAUUUCGAGUGGCAGGGUCUGCUCACCCUGGAUAGACCAUCACUAUCCAGCUGUGCCACUUUGCAUGCUCCAUCCUUCCUCUGCUCCUUCUCGGCUGCUGAUUUUAGAAACAAGGUAGACCAGGGGCUCCAAUUCCCGGCUG
RNAcentral lists this long non-coding RNA (490 nucleotides) under Homo sapiens (human). Its description in RNAcentral is "HSALNT0024603". The record is from RNAcentral. Lineage: Eukaryota; Metazoa; Chordata; Mammalia; Primates; Hominidae.